CACUAAACAGCUAGCUCAACAACUCUCAAUCAAACCCCUAAACAUUACUCUCCUCCCAAUUUUCUACUUCCUAAUAAACAAAUCAUUUUUCCAACUUAGUAUGGGCGACAGAAAAGAAACAAGAAGCAACAGACACAGUACCGCAAGGGAACGCUGAAAAAGAAAUGAAAUAAUAAUUAAGUUCUACAAAGCAGAGACUUCCCCUCGUACCUUUUGCAUCAUGAUUAAGCCAGAAAUAUGAAGCAAAGCGCCCUUUAGUUUCGCCCCCCGAAACCAGACGAGCUACUCCGAGGCAGCCUAUUAGGGCCAACCCGUCUCUGUGGCAAAAGAGUGGGAAGAACUCCGAGUAGAGGCGAUAAACCUACCGAGCCUGGUUAUAGCUGGUUGUUUAGGAAAUGAAUAUUAGUUCAGCCCACUGGUUUCUUAUCCCAAAACAUCUAUAAAACGAUUAAAAGAAUCCGAUGGAGUUAGUCAAAGAAGGUUCAGCUCCUUUGAAUAAAGACACAACUUUUCCAGGAGAAUAAAGACCAUAAUCAGAAAGGUUAAAUGUUUUAGUGGGCUUAAAGGCAGCCACCUAGCAGAAAGCGUUAAAGCUCAAAUAACCCCUUCCCCCCCCCCCCAUUUUGAUAAAAAGUCUUAUUUCCCUAAAUUUACUAAACCAUCUCAUGCCCCCAUGAGAGAGAUCCUGCUUAGACGAGUAAUAAGAGGGCACGCCCCUCUCCUCGCACACGUGUAAGCCGAGGUGGACAAACCACCGGCAAUUAAUGGUCCCAGCAAAAGAGGGAAUUGUCUUACUAAACCAUUCACUAGAAAACCCCACAAAAAUUACCAUUAACCCAACACAGGAGUGCACCCCAGGAAAGACUAAAAGAGCAGAAAGGAACUCGGCAAACACUAGCCUCGCCUGUUUACCAAAAACACCGCCUCUUGCAAACCAAGAAUAAGAGGUCCCGCCUGCCCUGUGACUAAGUUUAACGGCCGCGGUAUUCUGACCGUGCAAAGGUAGCGCAAUCACUUGUCCUUUAAAUGAGGACCUGUAUGAAUGGCAUCACGAGGGCUAAACUGUCUCCCUGCUCCUGUCAAUGAAACUGAUCUUCCCGUGCAGAAGCGGGAAUAAAGCCAUAAGACGAGAAGACCCUAUGGAGCUUUAGACACCAAACAGCCUGCCCCCACCCCCUUCCCCAAGAAGAGCCACCCCGGACAGCCCCUGUCAACUGUCUUUGGUUGGGGCGACCGUGGGGAAAAAAACAACCCCCAUGAGGACUGGGACAACCUUCCCUCAAACCGAGAACUACCCCUCUAAGAAUCAGAAUCUCUGACCUACAUGAUCCGGCUUCACGACCGAUCAACGAACCGAGUUACCCUAGGGAUAACAGCGCAAUCCCCUCCAAGAGUCCAUAUCGACGAGAGGGUUUACGACCUCGAUGUUGGAUCAGGACAUCCUAAUGGUGCAGCCGCUAUUAAGGGUUCGUUUGUUCAACGAUUAAUAGUCCUACGUGAUCUGAGUUCAGACCGGAGUAAUCCAGGUCAGUUUCUAUCUAUGACACAACCCUUUUCUAGUACGAAAGGACCGAAAAGAGGAGGCCCAUGCCAAUUGUACGCCUCACCCCCACCUGAAGAAAUCAACUAAAACAAGUAAAAGGGUAAAACCACUCAGGCACGCUUACGAUAACAGCUU
RNAcentral lists this ribosomal RNA (1678 nucleotides) under Pseudotrichonotus altivelis. RNAcentral's name for it is "16S ribosomal RNA". The stretch from base 99 to 1593 matches the Rfam family "Bacterial large subunit ribosomal RNA". Lineage: Eukaryota; Metazoa; Chordata; Actinopteri; Aulopiformes; Pseudotrichonotidae. The record is from RNAcentral.